This 433-nucleotide ribosomal RNA is filed under the name uncultured bacterium. RNAcentral's name for it is "partial 16S ribosomal RNA". It matches the Rfam family "Bacterial small subunit ribosomal RNA", at positions 29 to 507 of the family's 1533-position model. The record is from RNAcentral.
AACGAACGCUGGCGGCAUGCCUAACACAUGCAAGUCGAACGAGACCUUCGGGUCUAGUGGCGCACGGGUGCGUAACGCGUGGGAACCUGCCCUUAGGUUCGGAAUAACUCCCCGAAAGGGGUGCUAAUACCGGAUAAUGUCUUCGGACCAAAGAUUUAUCGCCUUUGGAUGGGCCCGCGUUGGAUUAGCUAGUUGGUAGGGUAAAAGCCUACCAAGGCGACGAUCCAUAGCUGGUCUGAGAGGAUGAUCAGCCACACUGGGACUGAGACACGGCCCAGCCUCCUACGGGCGGCAGCAGUGGGGACUAUUGGCCAAUGGGCGAAAGCCUGAUCCAGCAAUGCCGCGUGAGUGAUGAAGGCCUUAGGGUUGUAAAGCUCUUUAACCCGGGAUGAUAAUGACAGUCCCGGGAGAAUCAGCUCCGGCCCACUCCGUG